NNNNACAGCCAUAUCACCUGCAUGCAUGAAGACGGUUGCCCACUGAAGCUAAGCAGGGUUGAGCCUGGUUAGUACCUGGAUGGGAGACCUCCUGGGAAAACUAGGUUGCUGUUGGAA
RNAcentral lists this ribosomal RNA (117 nucleotides) under Sinocyclocheilus rhinocerous. Lineage: Eukaryota; Metazoa; Chordata; Actinopteri; Cypriniformes; Cyprinidae. The record is from RNAcentral.